Molecule: ribosomal RNA, 1061 nt
Filed under: Enterobacter sp. MK14
Lineage: Bacteria; Pseudomonadati; Pseudomonadota; Gammaproteobacteria; Enterobacterales; Enterobacteriaceae
Description: bacterial SSU rRNA
Rfam family: Bacterial small subunit ribosomal RNA
Source: RNAcentral
CUACACUGCAGUCGAGCGGAGCACAGGAAGAGCUUGCUCUUUGGGCGACGAGCGGCGGACGGGUGAGUAAUGUCUGGGAAACUGCCUGAUGGAGGGGGAUAACUACUGGAAACGGUAGCUAAUACCGCAUAACGUCGCAAGACCAAAGAGGGGGACCUUCGGGCCUCUUGCCAUCAGAUGUGCCCAGAUGGGAUUAGCUAGUAGGUGGGGUAACGGCUCACCUAGGCGACGAUCCCUAGCUGGUCUGAGAGGAUGACCAGCCACACUGGAACUGAGACACGGUCCAGACUCCUACGGGAGGCAGCAGUGGGGAAUAUUGCACAAUGGGCGCAAGCCUGAUGCAGCCAUGCCGCGUGUAUGAAGAAGGCCUUCGGGUUGUAAAGUACUUUCAGCGGGGAGGAAGGCGGUGAGGUUAAUAACCUCAUCGAUUGACGUUACCCGCAGAAGAAGCACCGGCUAACUCCGUGCCAGCAGCCGCGGUAAUACGGAGGGUGCAAGCGUUAAUCGGAAUUACUGGGCGUAAAGCGCACGCAGGCGGUCUGUCAAGUCGGAUGUGAAAUCCCCGGGCUCAACCUGGGAACUGCAUUCGAAACUGGCAGGCUAGAGUCUUGUAGAGGGGGGUAGAAUUCCAGGUGUAGCGGUGAAAUGCGUAGAGAUCUGGAGGAAUACCGGUGGCGAAGGCGGCCCCCUGGACAAAGACUGACGCUCAGGUGCGAAAGCGUGGGGAGCAAACAGGAUUAGAUACCCUGGUAGUCCACGCCGUACACGAUGUCGACUUGGAGGUUGUGCCCUUGAGGCGUGGCUUCCGGAGCUAACGCGUUAAGUCGACCGCCUGGGGAGUACGGGCGCAAGGUUAAAACUCAAAUGAAUUGACGGGGGCCCGCACAAGCGGUGGAGCAUGUGGUUUAAUUCGAUGCAACGCGAAGAACCUUACCUACUCUUGACAUCCAGAGAACUUCCAGAGAUGGAUGGUGCCUUCGGGAACUCUGAGACAGGUGCUGCAUGGGUGUCGUCAGCUCGUGCUGUGAAAUGUUGAUUAAGUCCCGCAACGAGCGCCACCC